AUCUCGUACUGCGUUGAAAUGGCAUAUUGUUUUUAUUUCUUUGUUGCCUGAACUGGUAUUAUGUAACUUGUGUAGUGAUCUCCAUGGUAACAUAGAGUGUAGUGUCUUGACAACCAUAUUAUUCAUGUGUAUGAAGAAGUCUGUGGUACACUGUAAAUGCUGUAUUUAUUCUAAUGUAUUACAAUGUAUCUACAAAGAUUUAAUGAGAAUUGUGGAGUGGAGAAUUUGUUAGAAAGGAGGUAAUUUUAUGAGACUAAAUACAGAAUUUUAUUAUCACCAUUAUUUUACCUAUAUGUUACCUAUAGUAUUAAUUCUAAUUGUACAAAGCGGUAAUUUAUAGUGGUAAAAAUCUAUGGAAUCAUAUCAGACAGAUUGUGAUUAUGUCAAAUUUGUAUUAAUACAGUUUAAAAUCCACUCAAUAUCUCAUAACCAAGAAAUCCCAGUUUGUGGUUUACUCUGUGUAGGGCAACUGUACCUUCAAGAAAUCCGUGCUCAUUGUUAAUACAGGUAUACACCUGUCAUCAUGUGACAAAAGUAUUGUUUUAAGAUAGAAGUGAAAUGAAGAUGACACCUUCUGAAUCAUAACGAGAGAUGUGUUUCAGUGGCUGGAGAAAACUUUGGUCACUUCUGACCUUAGACCUUCAGAUCUGGUGACUUCAUGUUGUGUUCAUGCUGUAGUACCAUAUUUACCCUCAAAUAAGCCCCUGUCUAGAAUUUAGCCCCCUCUUCAUUUUUGCGUAACCAUCAAUUUUAAAAUGAAUUAAAUGUAAGGUAAAAGUGGUUCACAUAUAAGUCUUCCUGAAACUUUAAUGCUAAACUUUUAUAACCGUGCAUGUAGGGAGGAGACUUAUUUCAGGAUAAAUUCUGUACUACGUACCUAUAAUCCUCACACCUAGCGGCCACAUUGUCUUAUUCUUCAAAAUAUUCCAUCCAAUAUAUUCUGUCAGGUAAACAUGUCAUUAGAGUAAGUGUUGUGUUCACAUGUACAUACAGAAAUAAGUAAUUAAAUCUAUUUAUUUUGUCAGAGAUGUUGAAAUUGAUUCCGUUAUCAUUUAGAAAUCCAUUCUGAUAGUAAAUUCUGUGUAUGUAAUAUAUAUGUUAACAGUCAGUGUGAUUUAUGUUUCUGUGUUUGAAAUAUUAAUUAAAACUCAAAAUCCGCAACAUUUAAAAAAAACAAAAAAAAAAACAGCAGUAAUUUGGACAACUACAAAUAUUCUACCUAUUACAAGCUUUUGUUUUAUGGGUAAUAAUCGAUAUCAACAUAUGAGUCUUUUCUUCGUUUUGAAGUAAUUUUGGUGCCAUUUUGUUUUCUUGCAAUGAGGGAGAAUGUGAGAUAUGAAUUCAGUAAAUUGAAAUGUUAAUAGAUUGACAGUAAUACAUGAAUUCUUCAACUUCACCAUUUUCAAAAGUUUCUCAAUUAUUAGUUCAGUAUAUGAGGAAAUAUUUACACCAAUGUGCAUCUAAGAUGGCCAUCACAGUCUCGAUCUAAUUAGAAUUAGACUUGUAAUUUCCAUUCCUCUACGAUACUCUAUGAUACUCUACGAUACACUGCAAUCCCUAUACAAGAUCUUGUAUUGCAGUGUAUCGUAGAAGAGCAGAAAUUACAAGUCUAAUUUUAAUUAGAUUGUCACAGUCCCUGAUUGGUUGAUAUUUAUUGAUGGUCUGAUUUUGUAUGUACAUUUUAGAUGUACAUUGUAUUACCACAUGGGACUUACAUACAUUUACUGCGUGCAGGGUUAGUUGGGGGACUUGUGCAGGGUGAUAUUAUUCGUUUAAGAAUGCCUUAUCACGGGACACAAAUAUAACUUUGUUGAAAAUAAUUUCAGGAAACAUCUUUUUAAGCAUGGCUAUUUACUGUAUAAAAACUAGAAAAUUUAAUCAUGGUCAAAGCUGUUUACAGGGUCAAGUUGACACUUAAUUGUUAGCAAUUUAAGAAGUUAAAAUACUACUUCUCAGAAAUCCAGAGUCAAGACAUCUCAGAUAGAUGAUUCAUGUAACUCUUUCAUCCCCAGAGUCACAUCUAAUUUGGGGAUUAAAAAACGUCUACUGAAAACCCUGUAUAAUCAAUUUUUCACUUAUCUAAACACCUUUGGUUAUGGCAGUAGAGUUUGUAUUUUCUCUUCGCUACAGAGGGCAGGCUUUUUUAUUCCAUUCUUCACAACAACCAGGGUAUGACUGUGUUGAAUUUUAGAAAAAGAAACUAGAGAAUAUAGAAAAUUAAAAAAAACAGGAUUGAUUUAAAAUAAAAAAUGUUAUCGGUAGUAUUAUAUUGUGAAAGAUGACCAAUUAUGCUGUAAAAUUAAUCGCGGUGAAAUAAUUCCAAUCACAGUUACGGUAGGCCAAAUAAGUUGGUUAACAGUGUAAUGCAAUAUCUGGUAAGUUGAUAAUGGAAAGUGUAGGCUACGAUCAAGCAGUAUGUAUAUACAUGUAGUCUGUAUGAGCUUGACCAUAAGUAGGCACCUGGCUGGAUAUCAGGUGCGGAGUGAGCUAUUACAAACACCUAGCCUAGAAAAGACAGGUUGUCACAUAUACUCACAAAAUACAAGUAACGAUUAAUUCUGUUGAAUAGAAAAAUUAAGGCAUUGGUAAAACUAUCAUAAGUAGAGUCACACACCAAAAUUGAUUCUCUACAAUUGAUUUAACACCGUAUAACAUUUCCUGCUACUUUUGGAGAUAUAUAUACACUAUAAGCUUUCCCUUAGCAUCAGGAUUUGAAAGCAAGACCUAAUUCUAAACUUUUUAUUUUUAUUUCUACACAAUAAGAAUGAUGUUAUGUUGUUAUUUAAUGAUAUGUAUAUAUCGGGUAAAAACACAGUUAUGGGUACUUUGUUUCAUUUACAUUUUACAUUAACAUUUUUAUAUAAAUCGGUGGUACAAUAUUAUGUGAAUUUUCAGUCUCAUAUUUGAAAUACAGCUGGCUAUUAUUCAGCAUGUCACCAAAUGGGUAUUUUUGGCUUUAUUUUUUUAAUUUAAAAUCUAAUAAAUCUGUUUCUGCAAUUUGGUGAUUGUCAUCAUACUACUGAUAAUGAAAUAUUCGUCAAAGUUUCUGAUGAAAAAACAUCAUUAUUAGUUUUCACAAAAUCACUUGAUCUAAGAGUUUUGUGCUUGUGUGUUUAAUAAAAUGCAAAAAAAAAAAAAAUCAUAAUCAAGUCAAUCAGAUCAUAGCAACAGCAUGGUUCCAUCUCCAUUGGGCAGAUGUCAUAGUUAUACAUGUGAGUUAUUAGAACAUUAUAAAUUUAUCAUAUAUUUCCAUAAAACUAAAUCGCCUGUAUAUGUACGUGAUGUAUAUUUUGAAAUGUGGUUAGUAUUUAAUUUAUGCAAGACUGAAUUUGGUUGUUAUGUGUUCAGUAGUUCCCCUGUACAGGGGUCAGUUCCUGUUAUAAGAGAAUCAUUUCAUUCUCUUUAAUACCCGGUACUAACUUUCAUAGCUGUAAUACAAAUGAUGCUUUUGUAAGAAUCUAAAUUCAAGAAAGCAACUAUCACUGACACUAUCUAUGUUUUGUUUCAUUCAGGAGUUCCUUAUCUUAUAACAUCAAAUAGACUUACAAUAAAUUCUCAAUAUUGCAAUACAUUUUGUGAGAAAUACUCUAUGUAUAUUGGGCAAUAUCAAAUGAGUGUUGUAAAAUUUUGUACGUUUUCAUUUGGUUGUAUAAUUAUCUGAUGGAUAGAUGCAAUAUCAACUCUGAUUGGUUGGUGGAUAUAGAAUUAAUUUGAUUUGAUUGGUUGACAUGUUCGAUUAAGAUUGGUUAAAACUUUAUUUCUUUAGUUGACUAUAUUCAAUUCUGAGUGUGUGUAGGUGUAAUAUUUAUUUGAUAAGUUGACUUGAGUUGUACUCUUGAUUGGUUGGUAGGUAUACUAUCUGAUUGGUUGACUGAGUUAUACUCUGAUUGGUUGGUAGGUAUACUAUCCGAUUGGUUGACUGAGUUAUACUCUGAUUGGUUGACUAAGUUAUACUCUGAUUGGUUGGUAGGUAUACUAUCUGAUUGGUUGACUAAGUUACACUCUGAUUGGUUGGUAGGUACAUGUAUACUAUCUGAUUGGUUGACUGAGUUAUACUCUGAUUGGUUGGUAGGUAUAAUAUCUGAUUGGUUGACUGAGUUAUACUCUGAUUGGUUGGUAGGUAUACCAUCUGAUUGGUUGACUGAGUUAUACUCUGAUUGGUUGUUAGGUAUACCAUCUGAUUGGUUGACUGAGUUAUACUCUGAUUGGUUGGUAGGUAUACCAUCUGAUUGGUUGACUGAGUUAUACUCUGAUUGGUUGAUAGGUAUACCAUCUGAUUGGUUGACUGAGUUAUACUCUGGUUGUUAGGUAUACUAUCUGAUUGGUUGACUGAGUUAUACUCUGAUUGGUUGAUAGAAGAUUUAUCUUAUUUGUUGACAUGUUCAAUUCAGAUUCGAUUUGGUUAAAAGUUUAUUUCAUUAGUUGACUCGUUCAACUCUCAUUGGUUGGUUUUUUGGUAAGUUGGUUGAUUAAUAGGUUUGAUAUUUACCUGACUGGUAGAAAUACAAUUUAAAUGAUUGGUUGGUAGAUAUAUGAUUUAAAUUAUUGAUUGCCAAAGUUUAAUUCUGAUUCGCUGCAGGUACAUUUGUUAAGUAUUUAUCCGUUUGGUUGACUAAGUUCUACUGUGUAUGUAGGUAUUAUCAGGUAUAAACUUUCCUGUCAGUGUGUUUAUAUUCAUGCUGUAACAGUUAGUGAUUUUAUUAUCAUAACAAUUAAUAUUUCUUUCUUUUUGUCUUGUAAUGAAAACAAACUUUCAUUCAUAAGAAUUCUUAGUCACACAGUCCAGAUUUCAAUAUACUGGAGUUGACCUAUACAGGGUGGUUAGAGUGCAAUAUGUUGUAGUGUAAUACAGUUAUACGAGAUAUUCUGUCAACACAAACAUCACUACUGUAACAGUAGUAUUUUGAAUAUUAGAAUCAUUAAUUAGUAACUCUAGUUUGGAGGGAGAUUCCUUAUUGUCUACCCUAAAUUAUCAGACAUUAAUUAUCAGGAAAACUUCCUAAUUAUCUAAAAUUUCAAACUGGGUUUGAAAUUUCAGACAUUCACUUUCACCCCAUGUGGAAAUUUUUAAAAGUCAGAAAGUAUGUUAUGGUAUCUUUAUAAAUUGUUGUCUUGUCUCCCUUGGUUUGAUUGUAUUUAAUACACUACCACAUUCACAGCGGUAUAUCAAUUAGGAGUCACUUUAUUUUGAAAUGCUAAGAGUUUAGGUAUAUUUAUUUUGUCAUGUACUGAUCAAACUGGCAAAUGUUACUUUCAUCUACACUAUAACACCCCAUCAUGCUUGUAAAAACUCAAUGUCAAAAUAUUUUAAACAUCUGUCUUAUUAAAUUAGUGUAACUUAACAUACAAAUAGUGCAUAUGAAAUGAAUGAGAUUAAAAUUAUAGAUGGCACAUGGAAGAUGAUGCUUGGUAGCCUGUAUACACUGGCACUGCAUAAUAGCUAAUUGAUCUAACUCAAUGAAACAUUUUAAAACAGAUCAAUAUACUUGUAUGCUUCUUCUAUCAUAACAUUGUAUGUACGUGACAAAAAUAUCCUAUAUGUACCUAUAUUGUCAAGCACAUGCCAGGUGUACUCAGUUGAAAAAUAUAUUGUUUCAUUCUUACAAUUUAUGUAGUAAAAUUAUCAUUAUUACAGUUUAGAUUUAGUUCAAAUCUACAUAGUGAUAAAUUAAUACAUUUGAGAUAGUAUUGCCAGGGGCAAUGAACAAUCUGUAAUAUGUGAGGAAACUCAUACAAUAUGAAGGUGUGUACAAUUAGAUUGUAAGGAACUAAGAUUGUAAGGAACUAUCCUUUUAUGUUGAAAUGCAAAUCUACAAAUGACUAGUGUUAAAUAUAUGUAAAACGAAAGUAUAGCCAUACUGUGUUAAAUAUAUGUAAAGUGAAAAUAGUACUAUUUACAUAGUGUGCUCAAGAUUACUAAAGUAACUAAAUGUGUAUAUAUAUACAUGUCAUUGUGUAUUUGUGUUGAAAUUAUGUACAUGUAAUUAGAUAAUAAUAUUAAUUAGUUUAUGAGACAUAAAAGAAUGUAUGGUCCAAAUGUGUUAUCAGAAAUUUGUUGUAUUUUGAUAUAGUUCCAAUCACCUUCCAUCACCUUAAAGGUAACAUGUACUGUAUAUUUGCAGUGUCCUUUUUAACUAUGUUUUAAAGGUAAGGCACACAUUUACAAAUAAUUUUACUUCUAAUAUGUUUGUUAUUUUUUGUGAAGGUUAAUAACUGAGAAACACAAGGACUGCAUGCACAUCAAUUCCCAACCCACACUCCAUAUACAUGUGUUAUAUUCAGUACAUAUAUAUGGUCUUAGGUUGGGAAUUCAUGCCAAGUCCCUGGGCUGGGAAAUUAUGUUGGUUCCAUUAAACUCCAUAUUUUAUAUGAUUUAUCAUAACCCGAUAUAAUUUAUUGUAGACUGAUUUCAUAAGAGUUGUUGUAUUAGCCGUUAAAAUGCUCCUAUAUGCAAGAUAACAUGUACAUUUAUGUAAUUGUAAAAAUCUGUUUGAACAUAGGGAGACAAUGAAGUCCUACAAUAUAAGAAGGGUUCAUAUUGUGAUUUUAGAUUGGAUGUUAACAUUCUUGUUAGUUGUUGAAGACUUUUGAGGUUCGACAAAUAAUAAAAAUAUAAAUAUCCGAUGAUAAACAUUUAUAAAAAUCAGAUAUGAGCCUUUGAAAUUUGAUAAUAGGACUAGGAGGGGAUGUUAGAUUACAUGUGUUUCUGUCUCGUUGUCCGGUCCAUUCCAAUAGAUAUAAAGGUAAACUGUGAUUUUGUACCUGGAUUAGUUUUCUGACCACCUAUUGCUGUUAGAGGAUACAACAGUAUUAAUUCCCGUUAAGUCUAUAAAGUUUCUUAUCCAUUCCAACUUACAAGCUAAUUAAAGACUUUUGUAGAAAUAGUAAAUAGUGUGGAAAAUGAUAUAGCAACAAGGUGAUUAUGUUAGGUAUGUUCUAGUUCCUGUAACUUAAAUCAGUUAUCACACAAUUUCAAUAAAAGUUAGGUCUUUUUUGCAAACAAUUCUUUAAAAAAAAGAACCCCCAAAGUAAACAACUUUUUGAAACUAGUGAACAAAGUGAUGUCGUUUUAUAUGAAAUUCGAUUAAAUUAUCACACAGUUCUGGUUCAAAACUAUCGAUAGAUAUUAAUUUUAAUAUGAUCCAGAUAGCCUAAGCUUCCUCUGGUCCGAAAACAAGAUGCUGGACAUUGAAGAUAUUUUUCUAUAAAUAUUUCUAUAAAAAUGUCUAAUAUCUGGAGUUGGGGCCAGAGGAAACUUAGGAUACACAACCAGGAAAGAGACACAAAAAACACCAAAGGACAGGAGAGCUUAUGUUGUAUACAGAAUCAUCAAAUUUGUUUUAAGAAUCAAUUAUACUAUGAUACAGUAUAAGGUAUUUAAUUUAUCUUACAUCAGAGCAAUGCUACACAGCUUUUGGUUCCGCGCAGUUAAAACAAAACUCAUGUUCAGGCUUGAAAUAUAUAAAAAGAACAAGUAUGGUUGGUGGAUUUGAGCAAAUUAUCACAUCAUUGUAAAUAAAUUUUAUAUUUACACAGGU
This is a long non-coding RNA of Pecten maximus, 7538 nucleotides long. RefSeq lists it as uncharacterized. The transcript has 2 exons. The record is from RefSeq and is a predicted model, not a curated record. NCBI's taxonomy places the organism in Eukaryota, Metazoa, Mollusca, Bivalvia, Pectinida, Pectinidae.